GCAAGCUAAGACGGGGGAAAGCAGUCUCGGGUCCCCGCCGGCUCCCACCUGCGGGCCUCAGGCCGGGCGCCCCCUUGCUUUCAGGGGAGGAGUCAGCAGGGCGUGAAGAGGAGGGAAGGCUGGCCUCUGACCUGGACUUUGAAGGACAGUAGGGUUUGCCAUGAGGGCAGAGCUCCCAAGGACUCAGACUGCCUCUCUUCUCUUCCUCUUUGGCACUCCUUCUGCCCCACGCUCUGCCUCACCUGCCCCGCUGCACGGCCCCCGAGGCCACGGUCAUCGAGCACAGAAGGCCCCAGUCACAGGCACUGGUGCAGGACGGCGCUGGGUCAGCUGCACAACGGCCACAGGAAGAGGAGCCAGAAGCGGAAGGAAGGGUAACCGGUGGUACCACUGAGCCUCGGUGGCAUCUAUGGGGCAGGCUGGCCUCGCAGGGGUGGACGUGGUGCCGAUCAGGGCUCCCUUGCUCCAGGCGGUGCUGAAAGAGCAAUGACAAAGCCCGCCUCCUCCCUCCCUCCCUCCUCUCGGCUCCGCA
This is a long non-coding RNA of Prionailurus viverrinus (fishing cat), 532 nucleotides long. RefSeq lists it as uncharacterized. The record is from RefSeq and is a predicted model, not a curated record. The transcript is spliced from 3 exons. Lineage: Eukaryota; Metazoa; Chordata; Mammalia; Carnivora; Felidae.